Molecule: long non-coding RNA, 3051 nt
Organism: Equus asinus (donkey)
Lineage: Eukaryota; Metazoa; Chordata; Mammalia; Perissodactyla; Equidae
Source: Ensembl
CUGUGGGUGAGCACUGGGCUGGGGGCCCUCUCCUCAGAGAGUGUAAUCAAGAAGAUAAGACGCAUGCACAAAUAUCUUGAAUAAACCUCAGAAAACAGGCAUAAAUUAAAUGUAGGAGCCCAGAGAAGAUCAGAACAGUGUCACAGCCGACCUACACUCCAUCUACACUCACCUUACUACUGUUCGCUGUACAGGCUCUGCUCAUUCUCCCUCACGGACUUUGCGCUUGCUAGUUCUCUCUGAAGUUCUCUUAUAAUUUCCCUCUCCUCUCAAAUGUUCCCCCUCAGCAAGGUCUUUCUUUCCAUGGCCACUUCCCAGAACCCAGGACAGACCCAGAACAGACCUGGCACUCGAUAAAUAUUGUUGAGUAAAUUCUAAAUGAUGCCUUCGAGGAAGUGAUCUUUGAUCACAGGCUUCAGGGAUGGUGGGAGAUUAAUAGUGACGCCGGGAAAGAAAGACAGGAGGGCAGAGUCUUUGCGGAAGAAAGAACAAGACAGUAACAUGGGACAGCCCAUGAACAGGAACAGAAAUUGUUACGCCUGGUCAGUCCCCAUAACCGCCAGCCAGAAGAAAGAGAUUAAACUAACUCCAAAGUCGGUGGUAUGGAGUUGGGGUGGAUUCAACUAUUAUAUUGAUUUCAUCCACGCCACUUCUAAGUCUUCGGGGGUUUUCCCUCAGUUUUAUAGUCAUUACUCAUUAGAACCUAAGCACUGCAUUUUUAAUAGGAAAUAAUUCAAACUCACGGGAUGCAAGACAGCACUUGAGUUGUAAUAUUAAUCUGCCUUUUAAGGCCCCUCUGGCCGACCGGGCUCAGCAUCCUAAGUUAUGACAUUGCUUGUGAUUCAUUAAAAUCCAGCCAGUUCGGGGAAGGAGGGACACCGACCACUUUAACACAGGACUAGCUGUCUUCAACCACCUUUCUCAGGUUCAGACAAUCCAAGUCGCUAAAGGAGCUGCGCAGGAAGACCCACCACACUGUUCUGGACCCCUCUUAAAGCUCUCCGAUGGCCUGUUAAAAAAGGAUUGAGUCUCAGAUGGAAAACUGCCGAAAGCGUCUUGUUUUGAUGCUUGGAACAAUGUAAUGCUGAUUCCAUUAAUUUCUGCGAGAAACAGCUCUGCUCGCUAACCCACUUGCGGCCCGCAGAUGGUUACAGGGUAAACAGUGCUCCCUGGUGGCAACGACCGGCGUUGUCUGCUGGUUGAGAAAGAGAAAGAAGAAGAGCUCAGGUUUUGGCCUCUGAGCAAAGUGGCAGACAGCAGUGUCAUCAAGCUCAGCAGCGUUUCACAGUGAUGGCGUCCUUCUCCUCAGGACCAGUACUGGUCACCAUUAGCCCCUUUGCCUCUGACUUGUGAACAGACUGGAACUUGCAGGAGACUCUGGAGAGGCAAGAGUGUCCAGCUUCCAGAGUAGGGCAGCGCAGUGCAAUGCCAGGGGAACCGUUCCCGGAGGAGAGGAAGGAGUUCAGCCUGUGCUGUGGCCAAGUGAGUGCCUACUGGAUCCAUCUUCACACAGGGAACAACUAACAUUCUGCAGGAAAUACGAAACAAAAAGAUCACAAACAAGUGGACACAACGACCUUCCUGAAGGCUCUGAAGAGAGAAGGGACAUUGGAUGAAGGAAAAGGCAUGGAGAAAGGUUCCUGUGUUUGUGGCUUGUCUCCUGAGAACAGGUCACGUCACUGUUGCAUGGAACAACUUACUGUCCUGUGGAAAACAACACUUUCUGGUCUGAAGGACCAGAGGACAGGGUUUGGAACAAUCACAGCCACUGCAAAGUAGAGGCGAGGAGUCCAAAACUGGACAGAACCAGAAAGGAAGACCCUCAAAUUCUGCUCAUAAAUGUCACCCCAGUUUUCGGAAGACCCAUGAACCACAUAUGCAUGGAGGGUAAAAGACCUGAACUGAUUUGAGCUGCAGCCCCAGAGACAUUUUUUUGAGUCCAACUAAGUUGAUCGCCAGCCAACAUUUUAAAAGUUAACGCUUUUCUGGGGCUGGCCCCGUGGUCGAGUGGUUAAGUUCGCGCGCUCUGCUGCAGGCGGCCCAGUGUUUCGUUGGUUCGAAUCCUGGGCGCGGACAUGGCACAGCUCAUCAAACCACGCUGAGGCAGCAUCCCACAUGCCACAACCUAGAAGGACCCACAACGAAGAAUAUACAACUAUGUACCGGAGGGGCUUUGGGGAGAAAAAGGAAAAAAUAAAAUCUUUAAAAAAAAAAAAAAAGUUAACGCUUUUCUGAAUAGAACAGAAUUCAGAGUCUCCACAGAAUACAGAAUCCCCACAGCAUAACAUUUACAAUGUGCAGAGAAUAAUCCAAAAUUAUCUGACAUUCAAAACCCAGGACAAUGCAGGAGCAGAGCCGAGGGCCGUCUCCGUCAGCCAUCCCAGUGAUUUUCUUGUGCUCGUUCCUGCAUUCGAUAACCAUGUUUAAAGUAUCUACGAUGGUUCCUGUUCCUGCUCUGCUCCUUGGCUAAAACAGGGAGUAACGUCGCUGGUGACCUAGCUCAAGGGGAAACUAGGAAGUAUUCUAUAUUCCUACAACUAAAAGAAAGUGAUCAUAGAUCCAGAGGAAAAACUAAGAAGUGAAUACUUUCAAAUAGAAGGAUAAUAUUUUUUUUGAAAUGCCCAUGGAAGCAAGAAAACUUCAAUUAAAAUCCUGCCCUUUCUCCCUCUCAGCUGUAUAAUGAAUCUUUCUUCUCUCCCAUUCUCUGUCCUUCCUCCUUCUCCUCUCUGCCAAAGGUGAGUGCCAGGCAUUUUGUUACAGAUGUAGAUUUUGUGGUCAGCAAGAUAGGAAUAAUCCCCCCUUUCAUGGAGCCCUUAGCUCAAUGAUUUAACCUCUCAGCCUCAUUUUUUAAAUUACCAAAAUAGGGACAAUUAUAUUUACCUUUCAGGGUGGUUUUGUUAGUCAGAAUUCUUUCAAAUAUCCUAAAGCAGAAUGGAAAAUUUAUUAGCUCCCACAAAUGGAAAGUUCAGGGGUGCAGGUGGCUUCAGGUACAGCUGAAUCCAGGGUCAAUGAAAGAAUCAUAUAUCUGAGUUAUCUUUCUCUGCAUCUACU